Molecule: ribosomal RNA, 611 nt
Filed under: Ochrolechia pallescens
Lineage: Eukaryota; Fungi; Ascomycota; Lecanoromycetes; Pertusariales; Ochrolechiaceae
Description: SSU rRNA
Rfam family: Bacterial small subunit ribosomal RNA
Source: RNAcentral
AAUGUAUAGCGAAAGCUAGUUGCAUUAACUAACUGUUAAUGCAGAAGCGACUAUGUCGUGUAAAGUUCAGGGUAGAGUUAUGAUAAUGACAUUUUCUAUCUGUGUGUCUCGACCAAACUACGUGCCAGCAGUCGCGGUAAUACGUUAGAGACUAGUGUUAUUCGUCUUUAGUAGGUUUAAAGGGUACCUAGACGGUCAUUUCAGCCCCUAAAGGGUACUGUUUGUACUAGAGUUUUAUGAGAGGGGGGGUGUACUAAUGGUGUAGAGAUGAAAUUCAGUCAUACCAUUACGAACAGGCAACAGCGAAGGCAACCCUUUAUGUGUAAACUGACGUUGAAGGACGAAGGCUUAGUCAACCAACAGGAUUAGAUACCCUAGCAGUCUGAGCAGACAAUGAUGAAUGCCAUAGAUUGGUAUAAAUAGAGGAAGAGGAAGGUAGUGAAAGUAUUUUUCUUGUUUAAAAAAAAACAUAAAUUGUAUGUCAUUCUUUUUGGAAAUUGUGACAAAUAAUUCUUUUCCGCCUUGGGGCUACGGGCCUUUAUCUUAAAAGAUUUUAUUUUCCACCUUGUCUAUAAAUGAAAGUGUAAGCAUUCCACCUCAAGAGUAACGUG